Molecule: ribosomal RNA, 254 nt
Filed under: uncultured bacterium
Lineage: Bacteria
Description: partial 16S ribosomal RNA
Rfam family: Bacterial small subunit ribosomal RNA
Source: RNAcentral
UACGUAGGGGGCGAGCGUUGUCCGGAUUUAUUGGGCGUAAAAGGCUUGUAGGUGGCCACGUCAAGUCGGAUGUGAAAUCUCCCGGCUCAACUGGGAGGGGUCAUUCGAUACUGGCGGGCUCGAGGUCGGUAGGGGGAAGCGGAAUUCCGGGUGUAGUGGUGGAAUGCGUAGAGAUCCGGAGGAACACCAGCGGCGAAGGCGGCAUCCUGGACUGGUCCUGACACUCAGGAGCGAAAGCGUGGGGAGCGAUCCGG